GCUGGUGUGGUGUAGUGGUUAGCAUGCUUCGUCAACACCGAAGCGACCCUGGUUCGAAUCCAGGCACCAGUA
RNAcentral lists this transfer RNA (72 nucleotides) under Fonsecaea pedrosoi CBS 271.37. RNAcentral describes it as "tRNA-Val (AAC) (tRNA-Val-AAC-1-1)". It matches the Rfam family "tRNA". Rfam says of the family: Transfer RNA (tRNA) molecules are approximately 80 nucleotides in length. Lineage: Eukaryota; Fungi; Ascomycota; Eurotiomycetes; Chaetothyriales; Herpotrichiellaceae. The record is from RNAcentral.